Molecule: ribosomal RNA, 208 nt
Filed under: Halomonas sp. LBP4
Lineage: Bacteria; Pseudomonadati; Pseudomonadota; Gammaproteobacteria; Oceanospirillales; Halomonadaceae
Description: partial 16S ribosomal RNA
Rfam family: Bacterial small subunit ribosomal RNA
Source: RNAcentral
UCAAAUGAAUUGACGGGGGCCCGCACAAGCGGUGGAGCAUGUGGUUUAAUUCGAUGCAACGCGAAGAACCUUACCUACCCUUGACAUCCUCGGAAUCUGCCGGAGACGGCGGAGUGCCUUCGGGAGCCGAGUGACAGGUGCUGCAUGGCUGUCGUCAGCUCGUGUUGUGAAAUGUUGGGUUAAGUCCCGUAACGAGCGCAACCCUUGU